AGAGGGCCUUUAAUUGUUACCAAAAAUAGGACGGCUUUAUGUCUUAUUAGUGGGUGGGUGGGCGGGUGGGCGGGAGCCGUCCUCUUGUAUCAGAUCUCGGCAGUCUCAGAAACCUCUGGGAAUUUGCUGUGCGUGUAGCAGAAGAACGAGUGAGAAAAAUUCGCUUUGGAGCCAGCCCUGGCUGGAAAAAUGAAGUUAAAUGAAACUCUCUCUCUCUCUCUCUCUCCGCAGCAUUUGGCUAAAACCUUGGUCUUGCUUGCUGAUUCCACCUGACUGAUGCCAUCGUUGAAAGACAAAUAGGAACACAUGGAGAAUGUGACUUUCAGGGAAUGAAUAAGAUGGUAAGCUUCAUAAGGGCAGAGACCCUGCAGUGACUCCAGUGCCUGGACAGCAUUGUGCACGUGCUGGGCACACAGUUCACCUUCUAGAGCAACAACAGAGCGUAGAGGCUAUUCAUGACCAGGACAUGCUCAUCCAAUGAAACUUCACAUCCCGUCUCAGAGUUACAGUAGAGGCAUUGGAUCUCAUCAAGGGGGCCAGAGGACAAUUCCCUAAAGAAGUAUUGAUUGAGCUGAGUUCCCAGGUUAGCGGCCAUUAUGGCCUUGCACGUGGGUGCUAUGAGGAACUGUGCCCAGCACUGUGGUACCAGAACUGCCAUGGAGAUACAACAGCGUCCCUGUCCAAGCCCGUGAUUCAUACAUCACCAAAGGCCCUGGGUUUUCCAGCAGGAGCAGCUCGAUAUUAGUGGCCCAGCCACAGUGACAGCCACACAGAGGAGUUGACAAUGAUCCCAGCAGAGAGCCAGAGCACAAGAGAAGGGAGGUGAGGUCCUGGUGUGUGUUAGGGAGCACAUGUGCGAAGUUCUCCAGGAAUCCUCAGAUCAGGACCGGGGCUUUGUGGAGGGGCUGGAGUUUCUGGGAGAGCCGAUGAAAGCAGAGGGAGAGAGGAACAGCCUGUGCUGGUUCUGAUCCCAGCUCUCCCCUCAGGCUGGCUGUGGCCUAGGAAACACGCAUUAUGCAAGUAAACAAAUCAUUAUUAUGAGCCUCAAAAGCUCCAGCUUAGCUCUGCCUCCCUUUUACAAACACUGACACAUGCAAAUGGGUGUCAGUUCUUGUGUGUGUGUGUGUGUGUGCGCGCGCGUGUGCUCGCGUGCGUGUGUACACAUGGUUGUGAUGUAAAAUGUUGCUUACAAUCAGUCUAGGACCAAAAAAAGAGAAAGAAAAAGAAAACGCUUUAUCAGAGGAUGAGAAAGAUCUUCACCCACCCCAGGAGUCUGUGAAAUUGCUGAAAAAUGUUGAUCUCAAUUCCAAAAGAAUUCACUUUCUGAUUGAGGGCAGUAAGUAGACUGAUCAGAAUAUCAUUUCUUUAUAGCUGUGUGACCUUGAGCAAGUUGCUUGGCUUCUCUGUGCCUCAUUUUCUACAUUGAUAAAGUAGUAGUAAUGCCAUCUUUACAUUGUUGGUAUUAGAAUUCGUGAUAAUGCUCGUGGAAGGCAUGUCACAAAGAAGGCAUUCGGCUACUGAUAGUUCUGCCAGAAAUUAGAUGGGAAGUGGGCAAGGGCAGUGAGCAGAGGACCAGAUUUUAAAGAUUACUUAGAAGGAGUGUGUCACCGAGGACUCUUUGGUAGAAAGUGUCAGACAUUGAUUUUGCCAGUCUUAGCAUAAAAGGCCCUCAUUGCCAUGGUGAUAGAGUGACUCGCAGAAUCCGAGGAUGGUCUGUCUAAGCAGAUUUCAGAAAGGAGAAACUUGUGGGAGCUUGAGGAUCUAGGCGGCAGGAGACAAGAGACAAGUUCCUCAGGUGAAUCCACUCCAACCAGUUCUUGUCCCCAUGUUCCUCCCCAGAGGAGAGAGCUGGGUGGGCUGAGCUGGAGUCUGGUACCCACCCAUCUGCUACGGGAACAGACACCUGGGCAGCAAUCCCACCAAGUGAGGAUGCAGUGGGAGAGGUGUAGCACCCCAAAGGAAACUUUGGUCUUACUACCAAGAGCAGAGAGGAGGGCUAGAUAGGUAAAACCAAGGGACACUCACUAGGGGACGGUAUGUGUGCUAGCAUCUGUUAGCCAAUAUUGUAUCCCUUGGCCCCAACCUAUCACCCCAACCAAACAACCAUAUAAUUUUUAAGAGAAUGACCAGAGGACAAUUUAGACAAACAGAUAUGGGUAAUUUCUCAAAAGACAGCUAAACCCUUGUGUCCUGACUAUAGAAUUGGGGACUUUUUGACUCCUAUGGUCCAACUUUGGCCAAGAGAGGAGUUAGAAGACAAUAGGAAUAAAGUUGACACUUAAAGAAUGCAUAUUUUGUGCCAUCUGCUGUUCUAAGCCCUUUAUGUAAUUAAUUCAUUUACUCCUCGUAACAAUCUAAUGGGCUAGAUAUUUAUUAUUAUUGUUGUUGCUGUUAUUAUUUCCUCUCCACUUACAGAAAAGAAAACUUAGGGCCAGGAGAUGAAGUAGUGUGCCCAGGGUACUUAGCUCAUGAGGAGUGGCACUGGGAUCUAACCCAGGCAUCUGAGUCUGAUGUCCAUGGUGUUAGCCACUACAGGGCACUGUCUCCCCAAAGGGUCAGUGGGAUGCAGGAUUCUGGGUGCUGUUUUGGAGGUCCAAAGUGCCUCAGGGGGAAAGUGUGGCUCUUGUACUACAAUUCCCAGCAUGCAACUGGGCUAUCAUCUUAACCCCUUCCUCACCAAAAGUUCCUGGUGAUCUUGAGUAAAAAAAUUUUUAAGGGCAAAUGUGGCAAAAUCUGGUUUCCUUAAAGGAUGACUAUGCAAUUGAGGCAUGAAUGCAGCUACAAGUGGAAGUAGAAGAGGAGAAGGUAAAAUUCUAGUUUAAAAUAUCCUCUACGUUUUUUUUUUUUUAGUGUUACUGGAAUUACUGUGGGAAAGACGGUUUUUAUUUUUAUUUUUUUAAAGAUUUUAUUUAUUUAUUUGAUAGACAAGAGUACACAAGUAGGCAGAGAGUGAGAGGAGGAAGCAGGCUCCCCGCUGAGCAGAGAGGCAAAGGCAGAGGCUUUAACCCACUGAGCUAUCCAGGCGUUCCAGGAAAGGUGGUUUUUAAACUGACAAAUGUUUACUGUGAUAAUAUCACUAAGGGCGUUAUAAAGCACCCAUUCUCAAACUUUGUUGCACUUUGUAAUCACUUGGAGAAUUUCUAAAAUACUUAAUGCUGGGGUCACAUCCCUAGAGGUUCUGAUUUAAUUGGCCUGGAGUAUGACCUGGACAUCGAGACUUUUAAUUCUAAAUUGUAGCAAAUUUCUAAAGUGCAGCAAAAUUUGAGAACCCUUGUUUUGAAGAAGAGAAAUAUUCAGGUGGGGUCAUAAAGGUAAAGCAAAGUGUGACUCGCUCAGGGACCUUGUCAGGAAAAUGACAGGGAGACAGAAUAGACUAUCAGGCAAUGAUUUUCAAUCCUGGCUGCACGUUAAGAUCACCAGGGAACUGUUUUUAAAAAUUGCCUUAUCCCGGACCAACUGAAGUAAUAUCUCUGAGGAUGUAUUCUGGUGAGAGAACUGAACCCCAGAACAGUGAUUCUCGAAGUGUUCCCAGACCAGAACUUGGUAGAGCUAGAGAUUCUUGGGCCCCAUCCCUGACAAAUGGAAACAGAAAUUCUGGGGGAGCACCCAGCAUUUUAAAUUUUCACAAAGCUUCGCAGUGGUUCUGAUGCUCUGUCAAGUUUUGAUAACCACUGCCCUGGAAUGGAGGCUCCAUGGAGAAAAGAACUUGGUCUGACGUUUUCACCAAUGAUCCUAGGGAAGUGGUAGGUACAGAGAAUGUGCUUUCCAUAGUCUGUUCCAUUAAGGGCCCUCAACGAACCAGGCCUCCCAUUACUCAUGUCCUUGUGCCCUCUCCCCUGGGAGCAGGACUGGCCCUCUUUAACCAACAAGAUGAGCACAAGUGAUAUACUGCCAGUUCAUGACCAGAGUCUUAAGAACUAGCAGCUUCUGCUUUCGUAUUUUUAGAAGGCUUGAUGUGCUUUAUCAGUAGUCAGGCUGUUUGUGAGGAGGCCACAUAAGAGUUAGAAAUCCUGAGUCUCCAUAGAGAGACACAGCCACCCCAGCACCCAGGCUGAGUUCAGCUCCAGCCAGGUUUAGCAGAUGAAUGCAGCUGCAAGAGAGACCAGUGGCAAGACCAACAGCAGGAACUCCCAGCUGAGCCCACACCAGAUCAAAGAGCCAUGAGCAAAUAAAAUUAUUUUAAGCCAGGAUGUGUUGGUUGGUUGGUUAAUGUAGCAACAGGAAACAUGAAACAAUGCUCAAUACAUACCUGUUGAAUUAAUGGUGAAAGUGCUUUGGGGACACGGAGCCAGAACAGUCUCUCUCCUUUGUCAAAGGAGGAAAAAGAGGAGUUAAAUAGAAAGCAGAGACAUACUCGCCAGUUGACAAAAAGAAUGGCUGAGGAGGGGACUUUGACCAGAUGCCAUUAAUACC
Molecule: long non-coding RNA, 4413 nt
Organism: Mustela lutreola (European mink)
Lineage: Eukaryota; Metazoa; Chordata; Mammalia; Carnivora; Mustelidae
Exons: 3
Source: RefSeq, a predicted model, not a curated record